AUGAAGGUCACGACUGGCUUCUCGUUGAAUGUAAAGGGUAUAAUAAAUAUGCCAGAGAAAAAGUUUCAGAACCUAAAGUCUCAUGACUGCCACGUGAUUAUGACGCAACUGCUUCCGGUUGCAUUGAGGGGGCUUCUACCGGAAAACGUCCGAUUAGCCAUUGUGAAGCUAUGUGCAUUCCUCAAUGCAAUCUCUCAGAAGGUGAUCGAUCCAGAAAUCGUACCAAGGCUAAGGAGUGAUGUGGCGCAAUGUCUUGUCAGUUUCGAGCUGGUGUUCCCACCAUCCUUCUUCAAUAUCAUGACGCACGUCCUAGUUCAUCUAGUCGACGAGAUUGUUAUUUUGGGGCCCAUAUUUGUACACAAUAUGUUCCCCUUUGAGAGGAUCAUGGGAGUCCUAAAGAAAUAUUUCCAUAACCGUGCUAGGCCAGAAGGAAGCAUCUCCAUGGGCCAUCAAACAGCGGAUGUUAUCGGGUUUUGUGUUGACUUCAUUCUUGGCCUUAAGAAGAUAGGUCUCCCUAAAUCGUGGUAUGAGGGGAGACUGACUGGAAAAGGCACUCUUGAAAGUGACUCAAUAACAUGCAGGGGCGGAUAUUCUUGGUCUCAAGCACACUACACAGCUCUACAGAACUCUACCUUGGUGACCCCGUAUGUCGAUGAACACAAGAACAGUCUACGCUCGAAACACCCGGAGCAGUGCGGCGACUGGAUUACAUGUGAACACAUCAGGACUUUCAGCAGUUGGUUGGAAACACGUCUCAGAGGUGACAACACUGUUUGUGAUGAGCUGUACUUGUUGUCCAGGGGACCAUCUUUGACUGUAUUGACUUACAAAGGAUACGAGAUAAAUGGGAAUACAUUUUACACGAUCGCCCAAGAUCAAAAGAGCACCAACCAAAACAGCGAUGUCCGCUUUGAUGCAGCAACCGAGAGCGGAAAGGACACAUAUUAUGGUUACAUAGUGGACAUAUGGGAACUUGACUACGGACAUGAUUUUAAGGUCCCUUUGUUUAAGUGCAAAUUGGUCAAUCUGUCAGGAGGCGGGCUACAGGUAGACCCACAGUACAGAAUGACAACAGUGGAUCUGAAAAAUCUUGGGUACACUGAUGAACCGUUCGUCUGA
This 1119-nucleotide ribosomal RNA is filed under the name Triticum aestivum (bread wheat). RNAcentral describes it as "partial small subunit ribosomal RNA". The record is from RNAcentral. Lineage: Eukaryota; Viridiplantae; Streptophyta; Magnoliopsida; Poales; Poaceae.